GAUGAAGAACGUAGCGAAACGCGAUAUGUAAUGUGAAUUGCAGAAUUCAGUGAAUCAUCGAAUCUUUGAACGCACAUGGCGCCUUCCAGUAUCCUGGGAGGCAUGCCUGACCGAGCGUCGUUUCAACCCUCGAGCCCCCGUGGCCCGGCGUUGGGGAUCUGCCACGGCAGGCCCCUAAAACCAGUGGCGGACCCGAAGGCCCUCUCCUUUGCGCAGUAGCAUCAGCCUCGCAUUGGGAUCCCUCGGCGUCCUGCCUCUAAACCCCCCACAAGUCCGCUCCGGCGGCACCAAGGUUGACCUCGGAUCAGGUAGGAAUACCCGCUGAACUUAAGCAUAUCAAUAAGCGGAGGA
RNAcentral lists this unclassified non-coding RNA (351 nucleotides) under soil metagenome. RNAcentral describes it as "partial contains 5.8S ribosomal RNA, internal transcribed spacer 2, and large subunit ribosomal RNA". The stretch from base 1 to 120 matches the Rfam family "5.8S ribosomal RNA", at positions 35 to 154 of the family's 154-position model. The record is from RNAcentral.